RNAcentral lists this ribosomal RNA (253 nucleotides) under uncultured bacterium. Its description in RNAcentral is "partial 16S ribosomal RNA". It matches the Rfam family "Bacterial small subunit ribosomal RNA", at positions 524 to 776 of the family's 1533-position model. The record is from RNAcentral.
UACAGAGGGGGCAAGCGUUGUUCGGAAUUACUGGGCGUAAAGGGCGCGUAGGCGGCCUGUUAAGUCGAACGUGAAAUCCCCGGGCUCAACCCGGGAACUGCGUCCGAUACUGGCAGGCUUGAAUUCGGGAGAGGGAUGCGGAAUUCCAGGUGUAGCGGUGAAAUGCGUAGAUAUCCGGAGGAACACCGGUGGCGAAGGCGGCUUCCUGGGCCGACACUGACGCUGAGGCGCGAAAGCCAGGGGAGCAAACGGG